AGGAAGGUGGGGAUGACGUCAAGUCCUCAUGGCCUUUAUGACCAGGGCUACACACGUACUACAAUGGCCGAUACAAAGGGCAGCGACACUGCGAGGUGAAGCCAAUCCCGUAAAAUCGGUCUCAGUCCGGAUUGGAGUCUGCAACUCGACUCCAUGAAGUUGGAAUCGCUAGUAAUCGUGGAUCAGCAUGCCACGGUGAAUACGUUCCCGGGCCUU
This 216-nucleotide ribosomal RNA is filed under the name uncultured Desulfobulbus sp. RNAcentral's name for it is "partial 16S ribosomal RNA". It matches the Rfam family "Bacterial small subunit ribosomal RNA", at positions 1167 to 1382 of the family's 1533-position model. Lineage: Bacteria; Pseudomonadati; Thermodesulfobacteriota; Desulfobulbia; Desulfobulbales; Desulfobulbaceae. The record is from RNAcentral.